This 1596-nucleotide ribosomal RNA is filed under the name Cacatua pastinator butleri. RNAcentral's name for it is "16S ribosomal RNA". It matches the Rfam family "Bacterial large subunit ribosomal RNA", at positions 236 to 2829 of the family's 2925-position model. The record is from RNAcentral. Lineage: Eukaryota; Metazoa; Chordata; Aves; Psittaciformes; Cacatuidae.
AGCCUACCCUAGCCUCACCCACUACAAUNNCAAAAACCCACUGUCCCACCUAACUAAAACAUUACCCCCUANNCUUAGUAUAGGCGAUAGAAAAGUGCACCNUGAGCGCUAUAGAAAGAGUACCGCAAGGGAAAGUAUGAAAUAAUAAUGAAAAUCAAGCACUACACAGCAAAGAUCGACCCUUGUACCUUUUGCAUCAUGAUCUAGCAAGAACAAACAGACAAAGCGAACUAAAGCCUGCCACCCCGAAACCUAAGCGAGCUACUUACGAGCAGCUACCAUGAGCAAACCCGUCUCUGUCGCAAAAGAGUGGGACGACUCGCCAGUAGAGGUGAAAAGCCAACCGAGCUAGGUGAUAGCUGGUUGCCCGCAAAAUGAAUCUUAGUUCUUCCUUAACCCCUCCCCCAGGACAACAAACCCAAACCCCCAUGCAGUGAGUUAAGAGCUAUCUAAAGGGGGUACAGCCCCUUUAAAAANGGACACACCCUCCACUAGCGGAUAACCCCUCCCCACCCUGACCCCNNNGUAGGCCUUAAAGCAGCCACCCCAAAAGAGUGCGUCAAAGCUCUCAAUCAAAAAUACAAAAACAACGCGAUUCCCUACACCUUUAGCUGGCUAACCUAUAACAAUAGAUGAAUCAAUGCUAGAACGAGUAACCAGGAUACCUUCCCCUCAAGCGCUAGCUUAUACACCAUUAACAGNNNCCCAACCAUCAAUGCUUAGCCCCCAANNCCCAAGACCAAACAUUGAACAUACCCUGUUAACCCAACCCAGGAGCGCACNNNACUAGGACGAUUAAAACCUACAAAAGGAACUCGGCAAACCCAAGACCCGACUGUUUACCAAAAACAUAGCCUUCAGCUAAACAAGUAUUGAAGGUGAUGCCUGCCCAGUGACACCACNNNGUUCAACGGCCGCGGUAUCCUAACCGUGCAAAGGUAGCGCAAUCAAUUGUCCCAUAAAUCGAGACUUGUAUGAACGGCUAAACGAGGUCUUAACUGUCUCCUGUAGAUAAUCAGUGAAACUGAUCUCCCCGUGCAAAAGCAGGGAUAGACACACAAGACGAGAAGACCCUGUGGAACUUUAAAAUCAAUAGCCACUACACACCAGCCCAAANNGCCCACUCGGCUCCACCUCNNCCACACCACUGGCUAAUAUUUUUAGAUUGGGGCAAUCUUGGAGAAAAGCAAAUCCUCCAAAAACAAGGCCAAACACCUUAGCAAAGAACUACCCCUCAAUGCACUAAUAGUACCCAGAUCCAAUAAAAUUGACCAAUGAACCAAGCUACCCCAGGGAUAACAGCGCAAUCUCCCCCAAGAGUCCCUAUCGACGAGGAGGUUUACGACCUCGAUGUUGGAUCAGGACAUCCUAGUGGUGCAGCCGCUACUAAGGGUUCGUUUGUUCAACGAUUAACAGUCCUACGUGAUCUGAGUUCAGACCGGAGCAAUCCAGGUCGGUUUCUAUCUAUGAUUAACCCUUCCUAGUACGAAAGGACCGGAAAGGUAGGGCCAAUACCCCAGGCACGCCCUCACCUUAAGUGAUGACUCCAACUAAAUCACCAAAAGUCUAUACCCACACCCCCUCUAGAAAAGAGCU